AUGCAAGUCGAGCGAACAGAUAAGGAGCUUGCUCCUUUGACGUUAGCGGCGGACGGGUGAGUAACACGUGGGUAACCUACCUAUAAGACUGGGAUAACUUCGGGAAACCGGAGCUAAUACCGGAUAACAUUUGGAACCGCAUGGUUCUAAAGUGAAAGAUGGUUUUGCUAUCACUUAUAGAUGGACCCGCGCCGUAUUAGCUAGUUGGUAAGGUAACGGCUUACCAAGGCGACGAUACGUAGCCGACCUGAGAGGGUGAUCGGCCACACUGGAACUGAGACACGGUCCAGACUCCUACGGGAGGCAGCAGUAGGGAAUCUUCCGCAAUGGGCGAAAGCCUGACGGAGCAACGCCGCGUGAGUGAUGAAGGGUUUCGGCUCGUAAAACUCUGUUAUUAGGGAAGAACAAAUGUGUAAGUAACUGUGCACAUCUUGACGGUACCUAAUCAGAAAGCCACGGCUAACUACGUGCCAGCAGCCGCGGUAAUACGUAGGUGGCAAGCGUUAUCCGGAAAUUAUUGGGCGUAAAGCGCGCGUAGGCGGUUUCUUAAGUCUGAUGUGAAAGCCCACGGCUCAACCCGUGGAGGGUCAUUGGAAACUGGGAAACUUGAGUGCAGAAGAGGAAAGUGGAAUUCCAUGUGUAGCGGUGAAAUGCGCAGAGAUAUGGAGGAACACCAGUGGCGAAGGCGACUUUCUGGUCUGUAACUGACGCUGAUGUGCGAAAGCGUGGGGAUCAAACAGGAUUAGAUACCCUGGUAGUCCACGCCGUAAACGAUGAGUGCUAAGUGUUAGGGGGUUUCCGCCCCUUAGUGCUGCAGCUAACGCAUUAAGCACUCCGCCUGGGGAGUACGACCGCAAGGUUGAAACUCAAGGGAAUUGACGGGGACCCGCACAAGCGGUGGAGCAUGUGGUUUAAUUCGAAGCAACGCGAAGAACCUUACCAAAUCUUGACAUCCUUUGAAAACUCUAGAGAUAGAGCCUUCCCCUUCGGGGGACAAAGUGACAGGUGGUGCAUGGUUGUCGUCAGCUCGUGUCGUGAGAUGUUGGGUUAAGUCCCGCAACGAGCGCAACCCUUAAGCUUAGUUGCCAUCAUUAAGUUGGGCACUCUAGGUUGACUGCCGGUGACAAACCGGAGGAAGGUGGGGAUGACGUCAAAUCAUCAUGCCCCUUAUGAUUUGGGCUACACACGUGCUACAAUGGACAAUACAAAGGGCAGCUAAACCGCGAGGUCAUGCAAAUCCCAUAAAGUUGUUCUCAGUUCGGAUUGUAGUCUGCAACUCGACUACAUGAAGCUGGAAUCGCUAGUAAUCGUAGAUCAGCAUGCUACGGUGAAUACGUUCCCGGGUCUUGUACACACCGCCCGUCACACCACGAGAGUUUGUAACACCCGAAGCCGGUGGAGUAACCAUUUAUGGAGCUAGCC
RNAcentral lists this ribosomal RNA (1422 nucleotides) under Staphylococcus saprophyticus. RNAcentral's name for it is "bacterial SSU rRNA". It matches the Rfam family "Bacterial small subunit ribosomal RNA". Lineage: Bacteria; Bacillati; Bacillota; Bacilli; Caryophanales; Staphylococcaceae. The record is from RNAcentral.